CAGCCGCCGCGGGAAUACGUAGGUGGCAAGCGUUGUCCGGAAUUAUUGGGCGUAAAGGGCUCGCAGGCGGUUUCUUAAGUCUGAUGUGAAAGCCCCCGGCUCAACCGGGGAGGGUCAUUGGAAACUGGGAAACUUGAGUGCAGAAGAGGAGAGUGGAAUUCCACGUGUAGCGGUGAAAUGCGUAGAGAUGUGGAGGAACACCAGUGGCGAAGGCGACUCUCUGGUCUGUAACUGACGCUGAGGAGCGAAAGCGUGGGGAGCAAACAGGAUUAGAUACCCGCGUAGUCCCUGUCUCUUAUAC
RNAcentral lists this ribosomal RNA (301 nucleotides) under uncultured bacterium. Its description in RNAcentral is "partial 16S ribosomal RNA". It matches the Rfam family "Bacterial small subunit ribosomal RNA", at positions 509 to 807 of the family's 1533-position model. The record is from RNAcentral.